RNAcentral lists this unclassified non-coding RNA (2245 nucleotides) under Hevea brasiliensis (rubber tree). Lineage: Eukaryota; Viridiplantae; Streptophyta; Magnoliopsida; Malpighiales; Euphorbiaceae. The record is from RNAcentral.
GUUUUAUUUUAUUUAUAUUUUAAUUAUGUAAAAAAAUUAACGUAAAUUUUCUAAUUUAAUACAACUGCUUGGGGGCAGGCCCAACUUUUUAAUUCUCACAUCUUCUUAUCCACCACCACCUUAAUUAUACCUACUCAAAAACUCAAUCUGUCAACCUCGAUCUACUGUCCAUAAAUAUAUAUCUUUCUUAAAGCCAAAAACAUAUCCUCUCAUCUUCUCUGUCCUUCUGCUCCUCCAUGGAACUCCAAUCACCAUCUUCAUCACCGCCGCCGCUUCCGCCACCUGCCUCACUCAAGACUUAUAAAUUAACAGCCUCAUCAAUCUCCUAUGUUAAAUGUACUACCAUAACUAAUAGCAUUGUACCAUUCUUCCUCUUCAAACCCUGCACGACAGCCCCACCAACUUUUAUUCUCCAGGAUGUGUCUUUCACAGCCUCUCCAUCUCAAAUCCUUGCCAUUGUUGGCCCCAGUGGAGCUGGAAAAUCCUCUCUCCUCGAUAUUUUAGCAGCUCGCACUUCCCCAACAACUGGUACUCUCCUCCUCAACUCCUCCCCUAUCAACCCUUCCUCGUUUCGGAAGCUCUCAGCUUAUGUCCCUCAGUACGAUGCAUGCCUUCCCUUGCUCACUGUAUCUGAAACUUUUAUCUUCGCUGCUCGACUCCUCCACCCAAAAUCAUCCGAAAUAGCUAAUAUUGUGGACUCUCUUCUCAAUGAGCUCAGCCUAACACACUUGGCUAACGCCCGGUUAGCUCAUGGGUUAUCAGGCGGUGAACGUAGACGUGUUUCAAUAGGGCUGAGCCUCCUCCAUGACCCUGCAGUUUUACUUCUGGAUGAACCCACUUCGGGCCUUGAUAGUAAAUCAGCCCUUAAUGUAAUGCAAACCCUUAAGUCCAUUGCUACUUCACGUCAUCGCACAGUGAUUUUGUCCAUUCAUCAACCAAGCUUCAAGAUCCUUUCUACCAUUGAUAAAUUACUUUUGUUAUGUAAAGGAACUGUUGUUCACCAUGGAACGCUUUCUUCCCUGCAAUGUUUCUUGCUCUCUAACGGCUUUACUGUCCCUCCCCAGCUCAAUGCCCUUGAAUAUGCAAUGGAAAUUUUAAAUGAGAUCCAGGAUAGUAAAGCCUGUACACCACCAUCCCUUCCAGCUGCAUCCCCAGAUAACAAUGCCACAAGUCCUGAUUCUGACAACAAAGCAAGACACAUCAGUUAUAGGAGCUCGAGACUCCAUGAAAUCCUUGUUCUUUAUAAUAGGUUUUGGAUGAUUAUUUACAGAACAAGACAGCUUUUAUUUACAAAUACAUCAGAAGCUCUUAUUGUGGGUCUUGUUUUGGGAACCAUCUACAUCAACAUUGGAUUCGACAAGCAAGGUAUCGAAAAGAGGUUUGGUCUCUUUGCCUUCACUCUCACAUUUCUUCUCUCUUCCACUACUGAAACACUCCCAAUCUUCAUCAAUGAAAGGCCAAUUAUACUAAGAGAAACUUCAAGCGGGGUUUAUAGACUCUCAUCUUAUCUAGUAGCAAACACUCUUGUCUUCUUGCCAUACUUGCUUGCAAUCGCUAUCAUAUACUCGGUCUCAGUUUAUUUCUUAGUGGGUCUUUGCGCUUCCUGGCAAGCUUUUGCUUACUUUGUUUUGGUCAUAUGGGUCAUCGUCUUGAUGGCAAAUUCAUUUGUUAUGUUCUUGAGCUCUCUUGCUCCAAAUUAUAUAGCUGGAAGCUCGCUAGUGACGAUACUUCUAGGCGCUUUCUUUCUCUUCUCCGGCUAUUUCAUUUCACAAGAUAGCAUGCCCAAGUACUGGCUCUUCAUGCAUUUUUUGUCCAUGUACAAGUAUGCUCUUGAUGCUCUUCUCAUCAAUGAGUAUUCUUGCCUUGUAAAUAAGUGUUUUCUGUGGUAUGAAGAGACAAAUACGUGUAUGGUGACCGGAGGUGAUGUGUUGCAGAAGAGAGGGCUCCAUGAGAGGCAUAGGUGGAGUAACAUCUACAUUUUGAUUGGAUUCUUCGUCUUCUACCGUGUGCUUUGUUUGCUAGUCUUGAUCAGAAGGGUUUCAAGAUCCAAAAAAUAAAAGAAAAUUUGAAUGUAUAAUGAAUGCAAUUUCGUCUAUAUGUUUUUUUUUUGGUUCUUCGAUUCUGUUUGUUGCAAAUCGAAGCUCCUCUAAUGGUUUCUUUCUUGUGCUUUAUUAGUCUAUUAAAAAAUCGAAAUAAAAACUCUUUUUUUAGAAAAGAAAUAAAAGCGAUUUAAUUAGUUCAAGAA